This 30-nucleotide non-coding RNA is filed under the name Mus musculus (house mouse). Lineage: Eukaryota; Metazoa; Chordata; Mammalia; Rodentia; Muridae. The record is from RNAcentral.
UGAGCAGAUCCUACCACCCAAUAGGCUGGC